This 1347-nucleotide ribosomal RNA is filed under the name uncultured bacterium. RNAcentral's name for it is "bacterial SSU rRNA". It matches the Rfam family "Bacterial small subunit ribosomal RNA", at positions 28 to 1381 of the family's 1533-position model. The record is from RNAcentral.
GACGAACGCUGGCGGCGUGGAUUAGGCAUGCAAGUCGAACGACGGUAGGGCUUCGGCCCUAUACGGAGUGGCGAACGGGUGAGUAACACGUGAACAACCUGUCCUUACAUUCGGGAUAAUUCACCGAAAGGUGUUGUAAUACCGGCGAGGAUGGUGGUGGGGCAUCUCACUACUAAGGAACGAGCAAUCGGUGCAAGGAGGGGUUCGCGGUCUAUCAGCUUGUUGGUGAGGUAACGGCUCACCAAGGCGACGACGGAUAGCUGGUCUGAGAGGAUGGUCAGCCACAUUGGAACUGAGAUACUGUCCAGACUCCUACGGGAGGCUGCAGUCGAGAAUCUUGGGCAAUGCACGAAAGUGUGACCCAGCGACGCCGCGUGGAGGAUGAAGGCCCUUGGGUCGUAAACUCCUUUUGUGUGAGAAGAACGUGGGGGCAACCCUGCUUGACGGUAUCACACGAAUAAGCCACGGCUAACUACGUGCCAGCAGCCGCGGUAAUACGUAGGUGGCAAGCGUUGUCCGGAUUUACUGGGCGUAAAGCGUAUGCAGGCGGAUGAGUAAGUAGGAAGUGAAAGGUUGGAGCUCAACUCUAACACGGCUCCCUAUACUGCUUGUCUUGAGUGCCGGAGAGGACAAGGGAACUUCACGUGUAGCGGUGAAAUGCGUUGAGAUGUGAAGGAACACCAAUGGCGAAAGCACUUGUCUGGACGGAAACUGACGCUGAGAUACGAAAGCCAAGGGAGCGAACAGGAUUAGAUACCCUGGUAGUCUUGGCCAUAAACGAUGUUCACUAGGUGUCGGGGGUUCCCCUCGGUGCCGCAGCUAACGCAUUAAGUGAACCGCCUGGGGACUACGGCCGCAAGGUUGAAACUCAAAGGAAUUGGCGGGGGCCCGCACAAGCGGUGGAGCAUGUGGCUUAAUUCGAUGCAACGCGAAGAACCUUACCAGGGCUUGACAUGGAUCUGCAAGCUCGUGAAAGCGAGUCGCUUUCGAAGGUGAUUCACAGGUGGUGCAUGGCUGUCGUCAGCUCGUGUUGUGAAAUGUUGGGUUAAGUCCCGCAACGAGCGCAACCCUCAUGUUUUGUUACCAGCGGAUAAUGCCGGGAACUCGAAACAAACUGCCUCUGUAAAGAGGAGGAAGGUGGGGAUGACGUCAAGUCAUCAUGCCCCUUACGCCCUGGGCUGCACACAUGCUACAAUGGCCGGUACAAAGAGUUGCUAAACCGCGAGGUGGAGCUAAUCUCAAAAAGCCGGUCUCAGUUCGGAUUGGAGGCUGCAACUCGCCUCCAUGAAGUCGGAAUCGCUAGUAACCGCCGGUCAGCAAUACGGCGGUGAAUACGUUCCCGGGCCU